GAGAUCCCUUGCUCAUGGGGUCCUUUCUGCAAGUCUAGAUAUUUGGAGAUGGAAUUCCGUUACUGGUGAUUAUAAUACGGAGCCUUUUAAUUAAGAACUACAGCAGUUCACCUUUAACUGCCAGUCACUGGAUAAUUGGCCCUUUUCUAAUAGGCACUGCAGCUCAGGCAGAAAAUGGUGAGAGAGAAUCAUGGAGCCAUCACUGGUUUUUCUGUACAAACUAGCUAAUACUUCUCCAAGAAGAAAGGAAGCUUUGGUGAAUUUCUUGCUUCAGCUACUGCAAAAGUAUAAUAGAAUGUCUUGGGCAACCACAGAUGAUGCAAAGCCUUUCGUCCACUGCCAUAUGGCAAAACAUUUUAAAAGCACCAGAGCUAUUUCAUCAGGUGGAUGAGACUGAAAAGAUUUACCUACUGAAUAUGUUUCAAGUUGAAACUAGCGCCCUCCUGGGUAAAAUGUAAUUUGUUUCAGUUUCACUUUAUUAAUUUGCUAUUGACAUUUCUCACAUGCUGAAUAGGCUUUUUACUUGUGCAAAUAAUUAGUGAUAUCUUCAAAAAAAUUCCAGUCUUGAGAGCAAAUGAAGUAGGCUUUAGUCCUGUAGUGUAACUUCUAGUUCAAACAAGUUGGGAAAUUUGUUUUUUGAAAGCUGUAAAAUUGAGUGCAAUGGAACCAUCUGCUGAAAAAGAAACAGCAUUGUGUCAUUUAGAUAAUAAUGGACUUAUGAGAAAGAGACUUCAGAAUUAUUCUGAAUUAAGAUCUUUCCAGAGCUGCUAACAAUGAUACUGAGGAGUCAAUAUCUU
Molecule: long non-coding RNA, 797 nt
Organism: Lagopus leucura (white-tailed ptarmigan)
Lineage: Eukaryota; Metazoa; Chordata; Aves; Galliformes; Phasianidae
Exons: 3
Source: RefSeq, a predicted model, not a curated record